RNAcentral lists this ribosomal RNA (253 nucleotides) under uncultured bacterium. Its description in RNAcentral is "partial 16S ribosomal RNA". It matches the Rfam family "Bacterial small subunit ribosomal RNA", at positions 524 to 776 of the family's 1533-position model. The record is from RNAcentral.
UACGAAGGGUGCAAGCGUUACUCGGAAUUACUGGGCGUAAAGCGUGCGUAGGUGGUUUGUUAAGUCUGUUGUGAAAGCCCCGGGCUCAACCUGGGAAUGGCAAUGGAUACUGGCAGGCUAGAGUCCGGAAGAGGAGAGUGGAAUUCCUGGUGUAGCGGUGAAAUGCGCAGAUAUCGAGGAAGAACACCCGUGGCUAAGGCGGCUCUCUAGUACGGUACUGACGCUGAGACGCGGAAGCGUGGGAGCGAACAGG